AUGCCCCAAAUAGGGAGAUUGAGUUCACUAUAAACCUUGUGCCAGGUACCGCACCUCUAUCAAAAGCUUCACCAGCAUAAAUAAUAGAGUUAGCAACACAAUUAUGGGAAUGAUUCGAAAAAGGAGUCAUUAGGCCAAGUGUAUCCUCGUGGGGAGUUGCAGUGUUGUUUGUUAAGAAAAAAGAUGGAAGUAUGAGGUUGUGUAUUGAAAUUA
RNAcentral lists this long non-coding RNA (213 nucleotides) under Daucus carota (carrot). Its description in RNAcentral is "long non-coding RNA (DCAR_LNC002855)". The record is from RNAcentral. Lineage: Eukaryota; Viridiplantae; Streptophyta; Magnoliopsida; Apiales; Apiaceae.